CCCUUAGAUGUCCUGGGCCGCACGCGCGCUACACUGAUGCAUUCAACGAGUAUUUCCUUGGCCGAGAGGCCUGGGCAAUCUUUUAAACCUGCAUCGUGAUAGGGAUAGAUUAUUGCAAUUAUUAAUCUUGAACGAGGAAUUCCUAGUAAACGCAAAUCAUCAAUUUGCAUCGAUUACGUCCCUGCCCUUUGUACACACCGCCCGUCGCACCUACCGAUUGAAUGGUCCGGUGAAAUCUCGGGAUUGUGGCCAGUUCACUUUAUUGGGAGUUGGCUGCGAGAACUUGCUUAAACCUUAUCAUUUAGAGGAAGGUGAAGUCGUAACA
RNAcentral lists this ribosomal RNA (325 nucleotides) under uncultured eukaryote. Its description in RNAcentral is "partial 18S ribosomal RNA". It matches the Rfam family "Eukaryotic small subunit ribosomal RNA", at positions 1470 to 1796 of the family's 1831-position model. The record is from RNAcentral.